RNAcentral lists this ribosomal RNA (253 nucleotides) under uncultured bacterium. RNAcentral's name for it is "partial 16S ribosomal RNA". It matches the Rfam family "Bacterial small subunit ribosomal RNA", at positions 524 to 776 of the family's 1533-position model. The record is from RNAcentral.
UACGUAGGGGGCUAGCGUUGUCCGGAUUUAUUGGGCGUAAAGCGCGUGUAGGCGGCCAGGAAGGUCCGCUGUGAAAACUCGAGGCUCAACCUCGAGAUGUCGGCGGAAACCCUCUGGCUAGAGUCCGGAAGAGGAGAGUGGAAUUCCCGGUGUAGCGGUGAAAUGCGCAGAUAUCGGGAAGAACACCCGUGGCGAAGGCGGUUCUCUGGGACGGUACUGACGCUGAGACGCGAAAGCGUGGGGAGCGAACAGG